RNAcentral lists this ribosomal RNA (466 nucleotides) under uncultured bacterium. Its description in RNAcentral is "partial 16S ribosomal RNA". It matches the Rfam family "Bacterial small subunit ribosomal RNA", at positions 28 to 505 of the family's 1533-position model. The record is from RNAcentral.
GACGAACGCUGGCGGCGUGCUUAACACAUGCAAGUCGAACGGAAAGGCCCUGCUUUUGUGGGGUGCUCGAGUGGCGAACGGGUGAGUAACACGUGAGUAACCUGCCCUUGACUUUGGGAUAACUUCAGGAAACUGGGGCUAAUACCGGAUAGGAGCUCCUGCUGCAUGGUGGGGGUUGGAAAGUUUCGGCGGUUGGGGAUGGACUCGCGGCUUAUCAGCUUGUUGGUGGGGUAGUGGCUUACCAAGGCAUGGACGGGUAGCCGGCCUGAGAGGGUGACCGGCCACAUUGGGACUGAGAUACGGCCCAGACUCCUACGGGAGGCAGCAGUGGGGAAUAUUGCACAAUGGGCGGAAGCCUGAUGCAGCAACGCCGCGUGCGGGAUGACGGCCUUCGGGUUGUAAACCGCUUUCGCCUGUGACGAAGCGUGAGUGACGGUAAUGGGUAAAGAAGCACCGGCUAACUACG